Molecule: transfer RNA, 82 nt
Filed under: Bacillota bacterium
Lineage: Bacteria; Bacillati; Bacillota
Description: tRNA-Leu
Rfam family: tRNA
About the family: Transfer RNA (tRNA) molecules are approximately 80 nucleotides in length. Their secondary structure includes four short double-helical elements and three loops (D, anti-codon, and T loops). Further hydrogen bonds mediate the characteristic L-shaped molecular structure. tRNAs have two regions of fundamental functional importance: the anti-codon, which is responsible for specific mRNA codon recognition, and the 3' end, to which the tRNAs corresponding amino acid is attached (by aminoacyl-tRNA synthetases). tRNAs cope with the degeneracy of the genetic code in two manners: having more than one tRNA (with a specific anti-codon) for a particular amino acid; and 'wobble' base-pairing, i.e. permitting non-standard base-pairing at the 3rd anti-codon position.
Source: RNAcentral
CGGCAAGUGGGGGAAUUGGUAGACCCGCCAGCCUAAGGAGCUGGUGCAGAAAUGCGUGUGAGUUCGAGUCUCACCUUGCCGA